RNAcentral lists this long non-coding RNA (259 nucleotides) under Elaeis guineensis (African oil palm). Its description in RNAcentral is "long non-coding RNA (EGUI_LNC011069)". The record is from RNAcentral. Lineage: Eukaryota; Viridiplantae; Streptophyta; Magnoliopsida; Arecales; Arecaceae.
GCAAGUCGCGACAAUGGACACCACUCCACUCUCUGGGCUCCACCACUCUCUGACAAAUCGCGACAACGGACACCACUCCACUCUCCGGGCUCCACCACUCUCUGGCAAAUCGCGACAAUGGACACCACUCCACUCUCCGUAACAAACUCCAUGUAGCCCUGAACGGCCCCUGACGCUACUACUCUCCAUAACAAACUUCGCAUGGCUCUGAACGGCCCACUACCAAGUGGUUACAAACGUCGCUGUCAAUCAGUUACGC